This 432-nucleotide ribosomal RNA is filed under the name uncultured bacterium. RNAcentral describes it as "bacterial SSU rRNA". It matches the Rfam family "Bacterial small subunit ribosomal RNA", at positions 27 to 507 of the family's 1533-position model. The record is from RNAcentral.
CGAACGAACGCUGGCGGCAGGCUUAACACAUGCAAGUCGAGCGCCCCGCAAGGGAGCGGCAGACGGGUGAGUAACGCGUGGGAAUCUACCCUUCACUACGGAACAACUCCGGGAAACUGGAGCUAAUACCGUAUACGUCCUUCGGGAGAAAGAUUUAUCGGUGAUGGAUGAGCCCGCGUUGGAUUAGCUAGUUGGUGGGGUAAUGGCCUACCAAGGCAACGAUCCAUAGCUGGUCUGAGAGGAUGAUCAGCCACACUGGGACUGAGACACGGCCCAGACUCCUACGGGAGGCAGCAGUGGGGAAUAUUGGACAAUGGGCGAAAGCCUGAUCCAGCCAUGCCGCGUGAGUGAUGAAGGCCCUAGGGUUGUAAAGCUCUUUCACCGGUGAAGAUAAUGACGGUAACCGGAGAAGAAGCCCCGGCUAACUUCGUG